RNAcentral lists this long non-coding RNA (212 nucleotides) under Lathyrus oleraceus (garden pea). RNAcentral describes it as "Pisum sativum (pea) long non-coding RNA (PSAT_LNC003730)". The record is from RNAcentral. Lineage: Eukaryota; Viridiplantae; Streptophyta; Magnoliopsida; Fabales; Fabaceae.
UUCAUCAUCCAUCUCACAAUCAUUCAUCACUCAACUUCACAAAUCAACCUCACUCUCAAUUGAUCACACUCAAUCAGAAUUCACUCACAAAUCAACCUCACUCAUCAAAAACACGAAUUCAAGACUCAACACGAGAAAGAGAGGAAGAAUAAGUGAUUUUUGAAGAUUGAUUAGGAAUUCUCCAAGAUUUGGUGAAAUUCCAUAUUGGGAAU